UACGAACUGUGCAAACGUUAUUCGGAAUCACUGGGCUUAAAGGGUGCGUAGGCGGCUUAUCAAGUAGGGUGUGAAAGCCCCCGGCUUAACCGGGGAAUUGCGCCCUAAACUGACGAGCUGGAGUGGGACAGGGGUGUGUGGAACUUCCGGUGGAGCGGUGAAAUGUGUUGAUAUCGGAAGGAACGCCGGUGGCGAAGGCGGCCUGCUGGGCAGUUUUGCUGACACUGAGGCGCGACAGCGUGGGGAGCAAACAGGG
Molecule: ribosomal RNA, 256 nt
Filed under: uncultured bacterium
Lineage: Bacteria
Description: partial 16S ribosomal RNA
Rfam family: Bacterial small subunit ribosomal RNA
Source: RNAcentral